Molecule: ribosomal RNA, 311 nt
Filed under: uncultured bacterium
Lineage: Bacteria
Description: bacterial SSU rRNA
Rfam family: Bacterial small subunit ribosomal RNA
Source: RNAcentral
AAUCAACGCUGGCGGCGUGCCUAACACAUGCAAGUCGAACGCGAAAGUCCCGCAAGGGAUGAGUAGAGUGGCAAACGGGUGAGUAACACGUGGGUGACCUGCCCUCGAGCGGGGAUAACGUCCCGAAAGGGACGCUAAUACCGCAUGACAUCCUGCCUUUGAACAGGCGGAGAUCAAAGCUGGGGAUCGCAAGACCUAGCACUCGAGGGAGGGGCCCGCGCCUGAUUAGCUAGUUGGUGAGGUAACGGCUCACCAAGGCUUCGAUCAGUAUCCGGCCUGAGAGGGCGGACGGACACACUGGGACUGAGACA